GACGAACGCUGGCGACGUGCUUAACACAUGCAAGUCGAGCGGAAAGGCCCUUCGGGGUACUCGAGCGGCGAACGGGUGAGUAACACGUGAGUAACCUGCCCCAGACUUUGGGAUAACCCUCGGAAACGGGGGCUAAUACCGGAUACGACACAGCUUCGCAUGGGGUCUGUGUGGAAAGUUUUUCGGUUUGGGAUGGGCUCGCGGCCUAUCAGCUUGUUGGUGGGGUGAUGGCCUACCAAGGCGACGACGGGUAGCCGGCCUGAGAGGGCGACCGGCCACACUGGGACUGAGACACGGCCCAGACUCCUACGGGAGGCAGCAGUGGGGAAUAUUGCACAAUGGGCGGAAGCCUGAUGCAGCGACGCCGCGUGAGGGAUGACGGCCUUCGGGUUGUAAACCUCUUUCAGCAGGGACGAAGCGUAAGUGACGGUACCUGCAGAAGAAGCGCCGGCCAACUACGUG
This 462-nucleotide ribosomal RNA is filed under the name uncultured bacterium. Its description in RNAcentral is "partial 16S ribosomal RNA". It matches the Rfam family "Bacterial small subunit ribosomal RNA", at positions 28 to 507 of the family's 1533-position model. The record is from RNAcentral.